Long non-coding RNA from Gadus macrocephalus (Pacific cod), 629 nucleotides. RefSeq lists it as uncharacterized. The transcript is spliced from 2 exons. Lineage: Eukaryota; Metazoa; Chordata; Actinopteri; Gadiformes; Gadidae. The record is from RefSeq and is a predicted model, not a curated record.
UGGAUUGUAGUGGUAUGAGGCAACACGGCUACUUAGACACAGGCUUCUGUUUCACCACGCCCUCUCCGGCCCGUUCGCCAAUCAUUGCUUGUCGAGGGGAUAAAAGUAGGCCGUGCCCUUCCUCCUGAACUCUCGCUUCCUGCCUCUUCGGCCCGUCCACUUCCGGGUCGUUGCCCUCGCCGCUCACCUCAGAGCACAGGUAGGUGCACCUCCGCAUGCUGUGUUGCGUACAUUCGUCAGCGUUUUACUAAAACUCAAACCAUUACUAUAAUAGAUCUGCCGAGAUCCUCAUCGCAAUCGGGGCAAUGUAUUGGGGUCGUUUACCGCUGCUGACCAGAGCAUAGAGCUGAAGGCCGACGGUGGUGGCGGUGGUCCUCCUGGGUGGUGGUGGUGAUCCCUUGUGUGCGUGUGCUUUGUUUUAGAUUUUAUUCGUUUGGACUUCACGUUUUUGCUUUGUGUGUGAGGUGCCCUUGUUUCUUUCGUUGGAUUUAAUUUCCCCCUGACGACCACUCUCCCAGCCGGUAAGCCUCAGCUUGUACCCACUUCCUUCCCCAGUUGGGCUAACUUCUCUUUUUCAUCUUUUGUGCCAAACCGUGUUCAUAAUAACAAAAUGCUUUGUUAUUUUUGAA